RNAcentral lists this ribosomal RNA (427 nucleotides) under uncultured prokaryote. RNAcentral describes it as "bacterial SSU rRNA". It matches the Rfam family "Bacterial small subunit ribosomal RNA", at positions 355 to 796 of the family's 1533-position model. The record is from RNAcentral.
UGGGGAAUUUUCCGCAAUGGGCGCAAGCCUGACGGAGCAACGCCGCGUGAGGGAGGACGGCCUGUGGGUUGUAAACCUCUUUUCUCAAGGAAGAAGAUUCUGACGGUACUUGAGGAAUCAGCAUCGGCUAACUCCGUGCCAGCAGCCGCGGUAAGACGGAGGAUGCAAGCGUUAUCCGGAAUUAUUGGGCGUAAAGCGUCCGUAGGUGGUUUUGCAAGUCUGCUGUCAAAGACCAGAGCUCAACUCUGGGCAGGCGGUGGAAACUGGGGAGCUAGAGUACGGUAGGGGUAGAGGGAAUUUCCAGUGUAGCGGUGAAAUGCGUAGAGAUUGGAAAGAACACCAGUGGCGAAGGCGCUCUACUGGACCUGUACUGACACUAAGGGACGAAAGCUAGGGGAGCGAAAGGGAUUAGAUACCCGCGUAGUCC